Molecule: long non-coding RNA, 879 nt
Filed under: Homo sapiens (human)
Lineage: Eukaryota; Metazoa; Chordata; Mammalia; Primates; Hominidae
Description: HSALNT0203949
Source: RNAcentral
UCUGAUUCCAAGGUCCACAUUGCUGUUUCAACUACACUUACCAUCUUCUUAUCCCUAGCAUGCAUAUUGGAUUCUCUUUUGCUUGUCUGAGUACUUAGCUGGAAUCUGAGUGGUUCCUUCAGUUCAUUUUCCAAACCCUUCUGCCAGAACAAGCUGGUUCUUCUGGGAAGACGGAACUGCCUACGGCCAUAUGCACCCAUCUGUUCUUCUCUGCAAAAAUGUCUUGGCCUUUUCCACACAGAGCCAGUGGGUGGUGGGGGUGACCACUGCAGGUGGACAGGCCAGGCCUGAAGUUUCUCACUCAUUAACCUGGAGCAACAAAAUGGAAAGAAUUCUGAUGACAAAGUAGAGAACCUGUCCCUUUGCUGGCUCUGAGGAUGACUGACUGUUGUGUGGGUGAGGUCUGCAGACAGAAGCCAGCUCUGCUCUCUCCAUUGGUAAACAUGGGUGGGAGCAUGGGAAACUCCAAGAGGCCAACCCUUGUGAGUGUUAGUGAAAAACAGCAAAGUGUUAGGAAGAAAAGUGAGUCCUAACUCAGAACUGCAAAUGCCCACCAAUAUUGGUUGCUCCCUGCCUUAUUAGACAUUUUCAUUUGUAGCACCUUUAAAAGAUAUGAUUUCCUAAUGUCAUGGCACUUUAUUUUCUGGGUCAUGUUGGCUUCGUGGUUAAGCAGGUGCAAACAUUGAAUUGGCCAGGUGAGCUGCCAGGAUGACUGAAACACAGGGGGUUUGGAUCAUCUGGACAACAGGACUGAGUGGAAAUUAAUGGGCGAGGGUUUCAGAGAUGAGACUUUGAAUCCAAGCUUUGCAUUUUACUGUAAGAGUUUGGGCAAGUUGUUUAACCUCCGAAAGGCUUUGUUUUCUUCAUUUGCAAUAUCCC